CCUACGGGAGGCAGCAGUGGGGAAUAUUGCACAAUGGGGGAAACCCUGAUGCAGCGAAGCCGCGUGAGUGAAGAAGUAUUUCGGUAUGUAAAGCUCUAUCAGCAGGGAAGAAAAAAGACGGUACCUGACUAAGAAGCCCCGGCUAACUACGUGACAGCAGGCGCGGUAAUACGUAGGGGGCAAGCGUUAUCCGGAUUUACUGGGUGUAAAGGGGGCGUAGACGGCGCGGCAAGUCUGAAGUGAAAGGCAGGGGCUUAACCCCCGAACUGCCAUUGAAACUGGCAUGCUAGAGUGCUGGAGAGGUAAGUGGAAUGCGUGGUGUAGCGGUGAAAUGCGUAGAUAUUAGGAAGAACCCCAGUGGCGAAGGCAGCUUACUGGA
Molecule: ribosomal RNA, 379 nt
Filed under: uncultured bacterium
Lineage: Bacteria
Description: partial 16S ribosomal RNA
Rfam family: Bacterial small subunit ribosomal RNA
Source: RNAcentral